This 306-nucleotide ribosomal RNA is filed under the name uncultured bacterium. Its description in RNAcentral is "bacterial SSU rRNA". It matches the Rfam family "Bacterial small subunit ribosomal RNA", at positions 28 to 338 of the family's 1533-position model. The record is from RNAcentral.
GAUGAACGCUAGCGGCAGGCUUAACACAUGCAAGUCGAGGGGUAUAGGUUUUCGGACCUAGAGACCGGCGCACGGGUGCGUAACGCGUAUGCAACCUACCUUUUACAGGGGGAUAGCCCAGAGAAAUUUGGAUUAAUACCUCAUAGUAUUAUGAUGUGGCAUCACAUUAUAAUUAAAGUCACAACGGUAAAAGAUGGGCAUGCGUCCCAUUAGCUAGAUGGUAAGUAACGGCUUACCAUGGCUACGAUGGGUAGGGGUCCUGAGAGGGAGAUCCCCCAUACUGGUACUGCGACACGGACCAGACCU